UACAGAGGGGGCAAGCGUUGUUCGGAAUUACUGGGCGUAAAGGGCGCGUAGGCGGCCGCCUAAGUCAGACGUGAAAUCCCUCAGCUUAACUGGGGAACUGCGUGUGAUACUGGAUGGCUUGGAUUUGGGAGAGGGAUGCGGAAUUCCAGGUGUAGCGGUGAAAUGCGUAGAUAUCUGGAGGAACACCGGUGGCGAAGGCGGCAUCCUGGACCAAUAUUGACGCUGAGGAGCGAAAGCCAGGGGAGCAAACGGG
RNAcentral lists this ribosomal RNA (253 nucleotides) under uncultured bacterium. RNAcentral's name for it is "partial 16S ribosomal RNA". It matches the Rfam family "Bacterial small subunit ribosomal RNA", at positions 524 to 776 of the family's 1533-position model. The record is from RNAcentral.